AGGCAGGCAGCUGCUCUGCCUGAGACUGUCAGGAGUUGGUUGACACAAAUCCAUGUCUGAAGCCCAAGCUCUUGCUACUCUGCUGUGUCCCUGAUGGGUGCAUGAAGGCCCCAGCCCAGUCAGUGACACAGAGGUUGGGAAGGCCAGGGCAUGAAGCUUCUGUGCUUGGAGAACAGGAGGGCUUGUGAAGCUGUGGUUGAUGGCGUGUCCAGGAAGCCUGGCCAGGCUGGGGUCUGGCAACAGCCUCACCACGAUGGCAUGGCGGUUGGCCCGGCCUCUACCCGCUGCACCACAGCUCCUGGCUCCAGGUCAUCUCUGCCCACAGCCAGCGUCUCUGGUGAGCCUGGGCAGGUGGGAGGCCGAACCUGUGCCCCACUGAUUUGGAUGCUGAGCUCUGGGGUGACCUGCACCCUAUAGUCCUACAGUUCACACACUAUGGAUGCCUGAAGGGAUGGGUGUCCUGUUUCUGAAACCCACAGAGCAGCCUUGAUUGGGAGGUGUCCUGUGCCCAUCUCGUGCCUCCCGUCCUUGUCCUGCGUCCUGGUUCUGGUUCUGCCGCCUCCUCUGCACGCUGCUCACCAGCCUGCUAAGUGGAUGUGAAUAAACAAUCAUGCAGG
Molecule: long non-coding RNA, 617 nt
Filed under: Pongo abelii (Sumatran orangutan)
Lineage: Eukaryota; Metazoa; Chordata; Mammalia; Primates; Hominidae
Description: lincRNA
Source: RNAcentral